CUUCUUUGAUAAAUUCUGCAGGUUCAAUGGUUAGAGUAUUCACAAGCCUCCAAGAAAAUGCACCAAAAAGCGUUGUAAUGGGUUCCGCAAUUGGUGUUGAUACAAAUUUCACCAUCCUAAGCCAGAUAUUGUUCUACCAAAAGCCAAGGGUCACUGAGAAAGAGAAGAAAACGAAAUAGAAGAACUAUACAAAGUCAUGUAUACUGCUACUUCCGAGUUCCUCGUGUUCAUCUUUCAACAGGUGCUACGUCAUUGAAGCCAUACUCAAACUUUUAUCACUGUUGAAUUGACCCUUUUGAACAUUUACCUUUUUUCAACUGCUGAUUCUUAAGGUA
Arachis duranensis is the source of this 335-nucleotide long non-coding RNA. RefSeq lists it as uncharacterized. The transcript has 3 exons. The record is from RefSeq and is a predicted model, not a curated record. NCBI's taxonomy places the organism in Eukaryota, Viridiplantae, Streptophyta, Magnoliopsida, Fabales, Fabaceae.